GCAGUAUCCUGACUGUGCUAAGGUAGCAUAAUCAUUAGUCUUUUAAUUGGAGACUGGUAUGAAUGGCUUAACGAAAGAUUAACUUUUUUUGUUAUAUAAAUUGAACUUAAUUUUUUAGUGAAAAAGCUAAAAUUUUUCAGAAAGACGAGAAGACCCUAUAGAGUUUUAUGUUUAAUUUUAUUUUUUCUUAUUAGAUUUUUUAAGAAUAACUAUAACUAAAUCAUUUUGUUGGGGCGACAUUAAGAUAUAAAAAACUCUUACUUUUAAAAAUUUUUUUGAAAAUAUAUUUUGAUCCUUUAUAAAAGAUUAUAAGAAAAAAUUACCUUAGGGAUAACAGCGUAAUCUUUUUUGAGAGUUCUAAUCGACAAAAAGGUUUGCGACCUCGAUGUUGGACUAAAAUUUAGGCAAGGUGUAGCAGCUUUGUUUUAAGGUCUGUUCGACCUAUA
This 446-nucleotide ribosomal RNA is filed under the name Trevathana paulayi. Its description in RNAcentral is "partial 16S ribosomal RNA". It matches the Rfam family "Bacterial large subunit ribosomal RNA", at positions 1933 to 2590 of the family's 2925-position model. The record is from RNAcentral. Lineage: Eukaryota; Metazoa; Arthropoda; Thecostraca; Balanomorpha; Pyrgomatidae.